RNAcentral lists this long non-coding RNA (326 nucleotides) under Rattus norvegicus (Norway rat). RNAcentral's name for it is "long non-coding RNA NONRATT005826". The record is from RNAcentral. Lineage: Eukaryota; Metazoa; Chordata; Mammalia; Rodentia; Muridae.
AGCAACUUGAGCUGAAAGGCUGAACUGGGUCCCGAGUGGAAAAUACCAGACUUUGUCCUUUCAGUGCCCAGCAGCGACCAUGUGCUGGGGCUCUGCUGCCCACACUGGAAGAAGCAAAGAAAGCAGCUGAAAUGCCAAGAACAGUCUGUCUCUACUGAGGCUCACCUUAAGGAGAAGGCCCGGGACAGUGGCAGGCGGCAUGAGACACUGCAUGGCUUGGGGGAACAAAUCUUUUGUUGCAUUAACGCUUUUCAUCCUCCACCUUGAACGAGGCAGAUGCUCCCUGCAGAGCUGUCGACUGAAUAAAGAAAUGAGUUUAAUGAUCA